RNAcentral lists this ribosomal RNA (445 nucleotides) under uncultured bacterium. RNAcentral describes it as "partial 16S ribosomal RNA". It matches the Rfam family "Bacterial small subunit ribosomal RNA", at positions 354 to 796 of the family's 1533-position model. The record is from RNAcentral.
GUAGGGAAUAUUGGGCAAUGGAUGCAAGUCUGAACCAGCCAUUCCGCGUGCAGGAAGAAGAUUCUAUGGAUUGUAAACUGCUUUUAGCAGAGAAGAAACGCCUUCAUUGAUGAGGGUUUGACGGUAUCUGCGGAAUAAGCACCGGCUAACUCCGUGCCAGCAGCCGCGGUAAUACGGGGGGUGCAAGCGUUAUCCGGAAUCACUGGGUUUAAAGGGUGCGUAGGCGGGAAAUUAAGUAAGUGGUGAAAGUCUGUUGCUUAACGAUAGAAUUGCCGUUGAUACUGAUUUUCUUGAAUUGGGUUGAGGUUAGCGGAAUGUGACAUGUAGCGGUGAAAUGCAUAGAUAUGUCAUGGAACACCAAUUGCGAAGGCAGCUAGCUGGGCCUUGAUUGACGCUGAGGCACGAAAGCGUGGGUAGCGAACAGGAUUAGAUACCCUAGUAGUCC